AUGAACGCUGGCGGCGUGCCUAAUACAUGCAAGUCGAGCGAACAGACGAGGAGCUUGCUCCUCUGACGUUAGCGGCGGACGGGUGAGUAACACGUGGAUAACCUACCUAUAAGACUGGGAUAACUUCGGGAAACCGGAGCUAAUACCGGAUAAUAUAUUGGACCGCAUGGUUCAAUAGUGAAAGACGGUUUUGCUGUCACUUAUAGAUGGAUCCGCGCCGCAUUAGCUAGUUGGUAAGGUAACGGCUUACCAAGGCAACGAUGCGUAGCCGACCUGAGAGGGUGAUCGGCCACACUGGAACUGAGACACGGUCCAGACUCCUACGGGAGGCAGCAGUAGGGAAUCUUCCGCAAAGGGCGAAAGCCUGACGGAGCAACGCCGCGUGAGUGAUGAAGGUCUUCGGAUCGUAAAACUCUGUUAUUAGGGAAGAACAAAUGUGUAAGUAACUAUGCACGUCUUGACGGUACCUAAUCAGAAAGCCACGGCUAACUACGUG
RNAcentral lists this ribosomal RNA (496 nucleotides) under uncultured bacterium. Its description in RNAcentral is "partial 16S ribosomal RNA". It matches the Rfam family "Bacterial small subunit ribosomal RNA", at positions 29 to 507 of the family's 1533-position model. The record is from RNAcentral.